Rhinopithecus roxellana (golden snub-nosed monkey) is the source of this 1061-nucleotide RNA transcript. It is a transcript of the gene named protein NDRG3 pseudogene, with no coding region annotated. Lineage: Eukaryota; Metazoa; Chordata; Mammalia; Primates; Cercopithecidae. The transcript has a single exon. The record is from RefSeq and is a predicted model, not a curated record.
AGGCUUACCCAAAGGAAACAGACCAGUUAUACCAAUGUAUCAUGACAUUGGCCUCAACCAUAAAUCCUGUUUCAAUGCAUUCUUUAACUCUGAGGAUAUGCACGAGAUCACCCAGCAUUUUGCUGUCUGUCAUGUGGAUGCCCCAGGCCAGCAGGAAGGUGCACCCUCUUUCCCAACAGGGUAUCAGUACCCCACAAUGGAUGAGCUGGCCGAAAUGCUGCCUCCUGUUCUUACCCACCUAAGCCUGAAAAGCAUCAUUGGUAUUGGAGUUGGAGCUGGAGCUUACAUCCUCAGCAGAUUUGCACUCAACCAUCCAGAGCUUGUGGAAGGCCUUGUGCUCAUUAAUGUUGACCCUUGCGCAAAAGGCUGGAUUGACUGGGCAGCUUCCAAACUCUCUGGCCUGACAACCAAUGUUGUGGACAUUAUUUUGGCUCAUCACUUUGGGCCGGAAGAGUUACAGGCCAACCUGGACCUGAUCCAAACCUACAGAAUGCAUAUUGCCCAAGACAUCAACCAAGACAACCUGCAGCAAUUCUUGAAUUCCUACAAUGGACGCUGAGACCUGGAGAUCAAAAGACCCAUACUGGGCCAAAAUGAUAAAAUCAAAAACAUUAAAGUCUUCUACUUUACUGGUGGAAGGGACAAUUCGCCUGCAGUUGAGGCUGUGGUCAAAUGCAAUUCCCGCCUGAACCCUGUAAAUACAACUCCGCUAAAGAUGGCAGAUUGUGGGGGACUGCCCCAGGUAGUUCAGCCUGGGAAGCUCAAAGAGGCCUUCAAGUACUUUUUGCAGGGAAUGGGCUACAUACCAUCUGCCAGCAUGACUCGGCUCGCCCGAUCACGAACCCACUCAACCUCGAGUAGCCUCGGCUCUGGAGAAAGUCCCUUCAGCCGGUCUGUCACCAGCAAUCAGUCAGAUGGAACUCAAGAAUCCUGUGAGUCCCCUGAUGUCCUGGACAGACACCAGACCAUGGAGGUGUCCUGCUAAGCAGAUGCUCCUCCCCUGGACCAUUGCAAGUCCAUCCUCCUUCAAAUGACCACUCCAUAAUAUAACAUUUCAUCCA